CCUACGGGUGGCAGCAGUGGGGGAUAUUGCACAAUGGGGGGAACCCUGAUGCAGCGACGCCGCGUGGGUGAAGGAGUGCUUCGGCAUGUAAAGCCCUAUCGGCAGGGAAGAAGCAAGACGGUACCUGACUAAGAAGCGCCGGCUAACUACGGGCCAGCAGCCGCGGUAAUACGUAGGGGGCGAGCGUUAUCCGGAUUCGCUGGGUGUAAAGGGAGCGUAUACGGCCAAGCAAGCCGGGGGUGAACGCCCGGGGCCCAACCCCGGGACUGCCGUUGGAACUGCAUGGCUGGAGUGCGGGAGGGGCAGGCGGAAUGCCUGGUGUAGCGGUGAAAUGCGUAGAUAUCAGGAGGAACACCGGGGGCGAAGGCGGCAUGCUGGACCGCGACUGACGUUGAGGCUCGAAAGCGUGGGGAGCGAACAGGAUUAGAUACCCUGGUAGUC
RNAcentral lists this ribosomal RNA (441 nucleotides) under uncultured bacterium. RNAcentral describes it as "partial 16S ribosomal RNA". It matches the Rfam family "Bacterial small subunit ribosomal RNA", at positions 338 to 795 of the family's 1533-position model. The record is from RNAcentral.